Molecule: ribosomal RNA, 502 nt
Filed under: uncultured bacterium
Lineage: Bacteria
Description: partial 16S ribosomal RNA
Rfam family: Bacterial small subunit ribosomal RNA
Source: RNAcentral
GAUGAACGCUAGCGGCAGGCCUAACACAUGCAAGUCGAGGGGCAGCACAGAAACAGCAAUGUUUUGGUGGCGACCGGCGGACGGGUGCGUAACGCGUAUGCAACCUACCUUACACAGGGGGAUAACGGAUGGAAACGUCCACUAACACCCCAUAACAUCGGAAUCGGCAUCGGAUUCGGUUGAAAUCUCCGGAGGUGGAGGAUGGGCAUGCGUUGUAUUAGAUAGUUGGUGAGGUAACGGCUCACCAAGUCGACGAUACAUAGGGGGACUGAGAGGUUAGCCCCCCACACUGGUACUGAGACACGGACCAGACUCCUACGGGAGGCAGCAGUGAGGAAUAUUGGUCAAUGGGGGCAACCCUGAACCAGCCAUGCCGCGUGCAGGAAGACGGCUCUAUGAGUUGUAAACUGCUUUUACACGGGGAUAAAUCGGGGUACGCGUACCCCGUUGAAGGUACUGUGGGAAUAAGGAUCGGCUAACUCCGUGCCAGCAGCCGCGGUAA